CCUACGGGAGGCAGCAGUGGGGGAUAUUGCACAAUGGGGGAAACCCUGAUGCAGCGACGCCGCGGGUGGGAAGACGGUCCUCUGGAUUGUAAACCACUGUCCCCAGUGACGAAGCUGACGGUACCUGGGGAGGAAGCUCCGGCUAACUACGUGCCAACAGCCGCGGUAAUACGUAGGGAGGAAGCGUUGUCCGGAAUUACUUGGUGUAAAGGGAGCGUAGGCGGGAUGGCAAGUUGGGUGUUAAAUCUACCGGCUCAACUGGUAGUCGCACUCAAAACUGCUAUUCGUGAGUGAAGUAGAGGCAGGCGGAAUUCCUAGUGUAGCGGGGAAAUGCGUAGAUAUUAGGAGGAACACCAGUGGCGAAGGCGGCCUGCUGGGCUUUUACUGACGCUGAGGCUCGAAAGUGUGGGGAGCAAACAGGAUUAGAGACCCUUGUAGUC
This 440-nucleotide ribosomal RNA is filed under the name uncultured bacterium. RNAcentral describes it as "partial 16S ribosomal RNA". It matches the Rfam family "Bacterial small subunit ribosomal RNA", at positions 338 to 795 of the family's 1533-position model. The record is from RNAcentral.